UACAGAGGGGGCAGGCGUUAUUCGGAAUUAUUGGGCGUAAAGGGCGCGUAGGCGGCUUGGCAAGUGGAUGGUGAAAUCCCUCGGCUUAACCGAGGAACGGCCGUCCAAACUGCUUCGCUUGAGACCGGGAGAGGUGAGUGGAAUUCCCAGUGUAGCGGUGAAAUGCGUAGAUAUUGGGAGGAACACCAGUGGCGAAGGCGGCUCACUGGACCGGUACUGACGCUGAGGUGCGAAAGCGUGGGGAGCAAACAGG
RNAcentral lists this ribosomal RNA (253 nucleotides) under uncultured bacterium. RNAcentral's name for it is "partial 16S ribosomal RNA". It matches the Rfam family "Bacterial small subunit ribosomal RNA", at positions 524 to 776 of the family's 1533-position model. The record is from RNAcentral.